UGCCCCAUGGCUUAGUUGGCUAUAGCGUCCGACUGUUAAUCGGAAGGUCGAGAGUUCGAUCCUCUCUGGGGCAG
Molecule: transfer RNA, 74 nt
Filed under: Sphaerobolus stellatus SS14
Lineage: Eukaryota; Fungi; Basidiomycota; Agaricomycetes; Geastrales; Sphaerobolaceae
Description: tRNA-Asn (GTT) (tRNA-Asn-GTT-3-1)
Rfam family: tRNA
About the family: Transfer RNA (tRNA) molecules are approximately 80 nucleotides in length. Their secondary structure includes four short double-helical elements and three loops (D, anti-codon, and T loops). Further hydrogen bonds mediate the characteristic L-shaped molecular structure. tRNAs have two regions of fundamental functional importance: the anti-codon, which is responsible for specific mRNA codon recognition, and the 3' end, to which the tRNAs corresponding amino acid is attached (by aminoacyl-tRNA synthetases). tRNAs cope with the degeneracy of the genetic code in two manners: having more than one tRNA (with a specific anti-codon) for a particular amino acid; and 'wobble' base-pairing, i.e. permitting non-standard base-pairing at the 3rd anti-codon position.
Source: Rfam by way of RNAcentral